AACGAACGCUGGCGGCAUGCCUAACACAUGCAAGUCGAACGAGGCCUUCGGGUCUAGUGGCGCACGGGUGCGUAACGCGUGUGAACCUGCCCUUAGGUUCGGAAUAACUCCCCGAAAGGGGUGCUAAUACCGGAUAAUGUCUUCGGACCAAAGAUUUAUCGCCUUUGGAUGGGCCCGCGUUGGAUUAGCUAGUUGGUAGGGUAAAAGCCUACCAAGGCGACGAUCCAUAGCUGGUCUGAGAGGAUGAUCAGCCACACUGGGACUGAGACACGGCCCAGACUCCUACGGGAGGCAGCAGUGGGGAAUAUUGGACAAUGGGCGAAAGCCUGAUCCAGCAAUGCCGCGUGAGUGAUGAAGGCCUUAGGGUUGUAAAGCUCUUUUACCCGGGAUGAUAAUGACAGUACCGGGAGAAUAAGCUCCGGCUAACUCCGUG
This 433-nucleotide ribosomal RNA is filed under the name uncultured bacterium. Its description in RNAcentral is "partial 16S ribosomal RNA". It matches the Rfam family "Bacterial small subunit ribosomal RNA", at positions 29 to 507 of the family's 1533-position model. The record is from RNAcentral.